CGCGGCCUAUCAGCUUGUUGGUGAGGUAACGGCUCACCAAGGCAUCGACGGGUAGCUGGUCUGAGAGGAUGAUCAGCCACACUGGGACUGAGACACGGCCCAGACUCCUACGGGAGGCAGCAGUAGGGAAUAUUGCACAAUGGGCGAAAGCCUGAUGCAGCAACGCCGCGUGCGGGAAGAAGGCCCUAGGGUUGUAAACCGCUUUCAGCAGGGAAGAGAAUGACGGUACCUGCAGAAGAAGGUGCGGCCAACUACGUGCCAGCAGCCGCGGUGACACGUAGGCACCAAGCGUUGUCCGGAUUUAUUGGGCGUAAAGAGCUCGUAGGCGGUUCAGUUAGUCGGGUGUGAAAACUCAAGGCUCAACCUUGAGACGCCACUCGAUACUGCUGUGACUUGAGUCCGGUAGAGGAGUGUGGAAUUCCUGGUGUAGCGGUGAAAUGCGCAGAUAUCAGGAGGAACACCAGCGGCGAAGGCGGCACUCUGGGCCGGUACUGACGCUGAGGAGCGAAAGCAUGGGGAGCAAACAGGAUUAGAUACCCUGGUAGUCCAUGCCGUAAACGUUGGGCACUAGGUAUGGGAUCAUAUCAACGGAUUCCGUGCCGUAGCUAACGCAUUAAGUGCCCCGCCUGGGGAGUACGG
RNAcentral lists this ribosomal RNA (639 nucleotides) under uncultured Actinomycetes bacterium. RNAcentral describes it as "bacterial SSU rRNA". It matches the Rfam family "Bacterial small subunit ribosomal RNA", at positions 232 to 885 of the family's 1533-position model. The record is from RNAcentral. Lineage: Bacteria; Bacillati; Actinomycetota; Actinomycetes.